This 301-nucleotide ribosomal RNA is filed under the name uncultured bacterium. RNAcentral's name for it is "partial 16S ribosomal RNA". It matches the Rfam family "Bacterial small subunit ribosomal RNA", at positions 509 to 807 of the family's 1533-position model. The record is from RNAcentral.
CAGUCGCCGCGGGAAUACGGAGGAUCCGAGCGUUAUCCGGAAUUAUUGGGUUUAAAGGGUGCGUAGGCGGAUAGAUAAGUCAGUGGUGAAAGACGGUGGCUCAACCAUCGCAGUGCCGUUGAUACUGUUUAUCUUGAAUAUGGAUGAGGUAGGCGGAAUGUGGCAAGUAGCGGUGAAAUGCAUAGAUAUGCCACAGAACACCGAUUGCGAAGGCAGCUUACCAAGGCAAAAUUGACGCUGAGGCACGAAAGCGUGGGGAUCGAACAGGAUUAGAUACCCGUGUAGUCCCUGUCUCUUAUAC